RNAcentral lists this ribosomal RNA (468 nucleotides) under uncultured bacterium. RNAcentral's name for it is "partial 16S ribosomal RNA". It matches the Rfam family "Bacterial small subunit ribosomal RNA", at positions 28 to 507 of the family's 1533-position model. The record is from RNAcentral.
GACGAACGCUGGCGGCGUGCUUAACACAUGCAAGUCGAACGGAAAAGCCCUGCUUUUGUGUGGUUCUCGAGUGGCGAGCGGGUGAGUAACACAUGAGUCACCUUCCCUUUACUUUGGGAUAACUUCAGGCGACUGCUGCUACUACCUGCUAGGAGCUCCUGCUGCAUGGUGGGGGUUGGAAAGUUUCGGCGGAUGGGGAUGGACUGGCGGCUAAUCAGCUUGUUGGUUGGGGAGUGGCUUAGCAGGGCUUUGACGGGUAGUCUGCCUGAGAGGGUGACCGGCGACAAUGGGACUGAGAGACGGAGCAGACGCCAACGUGAGGCAGCAGGGGGGAAUAUUGCACAAUGGGCGGAAGUCUGAUGAAGAAACGCCGCGUGCGGGAUGAAGGCCUUCGGGUGGGAAACCGCUGUAGCUUGUGACGAAGCGUGAGUGACGGUAACGGGUAAAGAAGCACCGGCUAACUACGUG